GAGGCGGCCGUAGCGCCAUUUUGUGGGAGCGAAGCGGUAGCUGGGUUGCUCUCCGGGCCUUCGCCGUUUCAGUCACCCCGUCGGGCUUCCUAGCAGCUGCCUAGCGGAAGAACAAGAAAAGAUGUCUGAAUAUAUUCGAGUAACGGAAGAUGAGAAUGAUGAGCCUAUUGAAAUACCAUCAGAAGAUGAUGGGACAGUGCUGCUGUCCACAGUUACAGCCCAGUUUCCGGGGGCAUGUGGUCUGCGCUACAGGAAUCCAGUGUCUCAGUGUAUGAGAGGCGUCCGGCUAGUAGAAGGAAUUCUGCAUGCACCUGAUGCCGGCUGGGGAAAUCUGGUGUACGUUGUCAACUAUCCCAAAGAUAACAAAAGAAAAAUGGAUGAAACUGAUGCUUCAUCAGCGGUGAAGGUGAAAAGAGCAGUCCAGAAAACAUCCGAUUUAAUAGUGUUGGGCCUUCCAUGGAAAACAACUGAACAGGAUCUAAAAGAAUAUUUUAGUACCUUUGGAGAAGUUCUUAUGGUGCAGGUCAAGAAAGAUAUUAAAACUGGUCAUUCAAAAGGGUUUGGCUUUGUUCGUUUUACGGAAUACGAAACCCAGGUGAAGGUAAUGUCACAGCGACAUAUGAUAGAUGGACGAUGGUGUGACUGUAAACUUCCUAAUUCUAAGCAAAGCCCAGAUGAGCCUUUGAGAAGCAGGAAGGUGUUCGUUGGGCGUUGUACAGAGGACAUGACUGCUGAUGAGUUGCAGCAGUUCUUUUGCCAGUAUGGAGAAGUGGUAGAUGUCUUCAUCCCCAAACCAUUCAGGGCUUUUGCCUUUGUUACAUUUGCAGAUGAUCAGGUUGCCCAGUCUCUUUGUGGAGAGGACUUGAUCAUUAAAGGAAUCAGCGUACAUAUAUCCAAUGCUGAACCUAAGCACAAUAGCAAUAGACAGUUAGAAAGAAGUGGAAGAUUUGGUGGUAAUCCAGGUGGCUUUGGGAAUCAGGGUGGAUUUGGUAACAGUAGGGGGGGUGGAGCUGGGUUGGGGAACAAUCAAAGUAGUAACAUGGGCGGAGGGAUGAACUUUGGCGCUUUCAGCAUUAAUCCAGCGAUGAUGGCUGCAGCCCAGGCAGCGUUGCAGAGCAGCUGGGGUAUGAUGGGGAUGUUAGCCAGCCAGCAGAACCAGUCAGGCCCGUCAGGGAAUAACCAAAGCCAAGGCAACAUGCAGAGGGAGCCAAAUCAGGCCUUUGGUUCUGGAAAUAACUCUUACAGUGGCUCUAAUUCUGGUGCAGCAAUUGGUUGGGGAUCAGCAUCAAAUGCAGGGUCAGGCAGUGGUUUUAAUGGAGGCUUUGGCUCAAGCAUGGAUUCCAAAUCUUCUGGCUGGGGAAUGUAGACAGUGGGUUGUGGUUAGUUGGUAUAGACUGGUGGGAAUAAAAAAUUUUCUAAACUCAUGGUAAGUAUAUUGUAAAAUACAUAUGUACUAAAAUUUUUCAGAAUUGGUUUGUUCAGUGUGGAGUAUAUUCAGCAGUAUUUUUGACAUUUUUCUUUAGAAAAAGGAAGAACUAAAGGAAUUUUAUAAGUUUUGUUACCUAAAGGGUUGAAAUAUUGAGUGGUUGAAAGUGACCUGCUGUUUGCCUGUUUGGUGAACCAACACUACAAUUGAUAUCAAAAGGUUUCUUCUGUAAUAUUUUAUCUCUGGACUUUUCAAGUGAAUUCUUUGCAUGUUCCAAAUGGAAACCAUUGAGUAGAACUACAUUACUUUCUCCUUGUUUUAAUUUGAACCCCACCAUAUGGAUUUUUCCUUAGGAAAAUCUCCUUUUUGGAGAUUAUGGUGUCACAAUGUUCGGUUCUUUUGUUUUUGUUUUUUAACACUUGUCUCCCCUCAUAUACAAAAGUACAAUAUGAAGCCUUCAUUUAAUCUCUGCAGUUCAUCUCAUUUCAAAUGUUUAUGGAAGAAGCACUUCACUGAAAGUAGUGCUGUAAAUAUUCUGCCAUAGGAAUACUUCUGUCUACAUGCUUUCUCAUUCAAGAAUUCGUCAUCACUCUGCACAGGCUGCGUCUUUGACGUUUUUAAUAAGUCUGGGUGACCGCACUUAAAAUGCACUUGCACUAUUACUCAGCAGCAGUAACAUGGUAACACUUAAAAUGGUAUUCGGGGACCUCCAAAGACUAAACUGACAAGCCUUCAAGGAACCCAGGGGUAAGUUAACUUGUCAAUAGCAUGGUUUUAAUCCCUUAUUUACAUUUAUGUAAAUCUGAUUUCCGGGUUGUAGGCGGCUCCCAAUGUUGGGUAGCGUUUUCUUAACAUGUUUAUGGCACUACCUGGCUUUGGGUAUUUAUUCUGCCCUUAAAAAGAUUGAAGUUUAGAAGUACUUAAACUAUUUGGCACAGAAUUGUUUUAAAGUCUAUUUGGUCAUCUAAAAUGCAUUCUAAAAUUUUUUUGAACCAGCUGAAUAAAAAUUAUUGUUGCCACUACAGUUUAGUGUCUGGAGUCUUACUGGAAAAACACAAUUUCUUUUUUACGUUACAAGAAUGCUGGAAAGUUACCUUUCAAAAGUGACUCGCAAAAAAUUUGUGCUUAAUAGGCACAGGAGAAAUUAGGCUGUAUCAUGGUAACUAUUUAGCAAGACUGAAAAACUUCAUUAAAUGUUAACUAUUAAAACUUUUUAGGUAGGGAUGAAUGACUAAAAUGAAAUUCAAUAAUUAAGACUAAGUCAGCUUAAAUUUUGUCCUUAGUAGAAAAAAAAUAGGAAGUUACCAACUUGUUAAUUUAGAAGAUGCGAUAAUUAGAAUAAUUUUAUUUUGUUGAGUACCAAAAGAGUAUCCCUUAACUUGUAUAUUACAGUACUUCACUGAGCUAUUGUAUGAUCUGUGAUCUGUUUGGCUUAAGUGUGCCCAGAUAUUUCAUGUUCACUGAAAAAGGUGUUUUAUCUAUAAUACUACCACUAAUUUCUAAUACUGUUUCAUCUUAAGAAUAUGCCACGUUGAUUCGACCCGUCUUCUGCACAUCAUUUAGGUUAUUUCCAAUUACUAGGAAGAGCCUUAGAGCUAAAUUAAAUUCAUAGCAUUGGAAUUACAAGGUCAAAGAUUGCAUGUUUUUAAGGCUUUGAAAUGUAUUGCCACAUUGUCCUUUAGAAAGUGUGUAUCAUCUCUGACAGUGUAAAAUAGUAGUAAUCCAUGUUCUUUUUUUUUGUCUGCCAAUUUGAUAACCGAAAAAUUUUAUUUGUUUUGUGGUAUUGGUUUUUAACAUGGAAAUCAGUAAAUACCCGGGCUAAGUUAUUAAUGUUUCCAGUUUGUUUAUUUUUAAAAAUGAUUCAAGAUUGCAUGCUACAGCACGUAAAGUGCUUUUAACAGAUCAGUAAGUCCAAAAACAUAGAAAAACAGGCAAAACACAUGAAUAGGCAAUUUAUAGAAAUGCAGACAACCAGUAUGAAAAGAUUCCAGAUUUUUUAAGUAAUGUAAAUGCAAAUUCAAGCAAUGAGGUUUUUUGGAUUGACAAAAAUGGAUAUCACCAUAAUGGCUUAUGUUCCCUUGAAUCAAAGAGAAAGAGGUGGAAUUAAACUGGCAAGCUGAGAAGUGUCUGUAAUAGCAGUUUCACCUGUAGUUUGGUAUCGUGUUUUGGGUGGAGUGACAGCGGAUGCUAAGAUCUUUUACAGGUAUUUUUAAAAAUAAGGAACCACUUACUGAUUGAAGACAUUCAAAAAGUAUUUAUUAUGUUCUUGAUCCAGGGAAUAUAGUUAAUAACUUUUGUGUAGACUCCAUACUCUUCUGCUUUCCCACAAUUAAUGGAACCCCAGGAUAUUAUGCCUCCCACAAACCACCUCUGUGUUUGAUUAUCUAGAAACACUAAUGCCCCUCCACUGUCACCUUUACAGCUGUCCUUACCCCCAAUUUCUAAGCCAGCACAUAGCAUGUUAUCAGUUACCCUUGCCCCUGGAUAGGGCUGCUUUUCAUAUGCUGCAGUACAUUUUUGGUGGUCAACAAUUGGUAGCUCCACAAACAUUAGACUUCUGGCAAGAAAACCCCUUUUGGUUAAUCCCCAUCCAGAUGCAAUUCCAAUGUCAUUUGUCCUCAUGAAGAAUUCUGCUUCUUUUCUUGGCAGACAAAUAGGCCUGGUGUUGCUAUUGAUUUCAACUCUGUUCUUCAAUUUAAUCAGUGCUAUGUCAUUGUCGAAACCAGCAUCAUGAGUGUAACCUUCGUGUAUAAAAACAGCCUCUGCCCAGGCUCGAGUAAAAUGAGGCGACAGUCUCUUGAGGGCACCCAUUCUAAUGUCCAAGGAGGACACAUCGUCUUUUUGCUCAUAUAUAGCAUGAGCAGCUGUUAGGAUCCAGUUAUCAUAUAAAAGUGCACCUGCUGCUGUACUUUGACCUAAUAACAGAACUUGCCAAGGAAAAUCACCAGGCUUUGCAAUUUGCCCUCCAUAUAUACGACUUGUUGUAGUACGGUUUGAUAUGCCACAAACUGUGGAAAAAGAAGCAGAUACGUUGAAUACUUUGUAGAUGCCCAGUGGUGUUUGUCUCAAGUCACUUUAAAGUUGUAAUAUAUAUUUAGUGUCAGCAAAAAAUUAGACAAUGUGAAUUGGUGGAUGUCCCUAUAAUAGGCAGUGGUGCUGUUUUAAAACAGCACAGUUCAGAGAAAUCAUAAAACUUUGUCAUGCCUAAGCUCCUCAGAAAAUGACAUGAGUGAAAAUUAACUUUAAAGAUGCUGUUUUGUUUUGCUAAAAGAAUUUGAUCUACAAGAUUGGGAAAACUAGCAGGGCAAACAGGAAUUGUCUGAGCUGAAAGACCUGUGAUGUGCAUAAGAAGUGAAUGGAAAUAGCCUUUUUGUUGCUUCUGUUUUCCUGUUUGUAAAAUGAACUGCUUACCAUGUAAUUCUGGUAAAGCAGGCAGUAAGAUCAUUGGAUUUGCAAAAUUAUUUUCAUCUUUGAACAUUUAAAUAUUUUUAAAAAUGAGAAUGUUGCAGUUCCAGCCAGGGCCCUUCAGGUUCUGCCGAAAUUAUUAUUUUUGGCCUCGUUCAUUCUUCCCAACACUAAAUUUUUCUGUAUCUUUAUUGUUAAUGUGCUUAUUUAGCAUAGCGUAUGUUUCCUAUUGUGCCAGAAUAUACUUGUAUUAAAACUUAAAAGAUUUGUGAGCUAGGAUACAGGGUUUAAGAAAGAAGUAAUUUAAACCAAAGAACACAGGGGUAAUGAAUAUAUGAUUACCUUUCUGGUGGUAGUUUUUUUGUUUUUUUUUUCCCCCUUUUUAAAUCACUACUCAAAUCAUCAGAGCCAAUUCUGGUAAAAAUUUUAAAGUACUAUUAAAAGGCAAAUUGCAUUAAUGUUUAAAAACUGGAGUCAUUGAAAACAAUUGCUUAGGGAAAUAAUCAAGUUAUUAGCUUUGGGUUUUAAUAGCAUUUUUACAGAGAAGAAAAGUAACUCAACAGAAGAACUCAUGUUAUAAAUGUAUAAACGGGUUAAGAUAAUUUAAAAAUUCAUUUAAUUUUUUAUGCUUGCCUAGUUAUAAGGUCAAAACUAAUCAAAUGACUGAUGUAGUCAGCAUCUAAAAACCUCUCCGUAUGGAAAGGGGAUAAUGAGAACAUAUUAUUUGGGAAUAAUAACUUGGUCUGAGAGCCAAGUGCUGAAGUUCCAUUUCUGCCUACCACAGCUAAAGCUCUACUUACUGUCUACUACCCAGUUCUACCUUCCAUCAAUUACGAAUCUCUUGUAUAAAUGUAUCCAUUACCAGGCUCACAGACUGGGAGUGAUUUUUCUCCUUUGGAGCUCGUCCAGAAUCCAUCAGCGUCACACACAUAUUUACCUGCAAAUCAUUGGAAAAGCAGAAAUGUUUACCUGCAUGUGUAAGGUGGUUGUCAUUUGCUUGAAUAUCCUGUUGAAAAUGUUGAUUCUUGAGCAUCAGUGCGAAAUAGGUGUCUGAAUAACCAUUUUACAUGAUUUCAUAAAUAGGAGGUCUCUGCAUUACCAUGUUUGCUUGCAAAGUGGAAACCUUUUAGAUGUGUAACGUGAAUAUGUAUCAAGUUCUCAAGUGCUUAAUGAUAAGGUUUUUGACUUGUUAAAUUAAACCAUUUGGAAUAUAUUG
Molecule: RNA transcript, 6047 nt
Organism: Choloepus didactylus (southern two-toed sloth)
Lineage: Eukaryota; Metazoa; Chordata; Mammalia; Pilosa; Megalonychidae
Gene: TARDBP
Gene name: TAR DNA binding protein
Exons: 8
Source: RefSeq, a predicted model, not a curated record